GAUCCCUCCUCUGGAGUUUUGCAGUGAGCCCAGGAUGUAGAAACCAUCUUAGCAUUACUGUGUGCAGUAAAGCGAGCUAUCUUGUUCAACUCAGAGAAGGCUGGAUUUGAUUUCCACUCUCUUACAG
This is a long non-coding RNA of Lagopus leucura (white-tailed ptarmigan), 127 nucleotides long. RefSeq lists it as uncharacterized. The record is from RefSeq and is a predicted model, not a curated record. Lineage: Eukaryota; Metazoa; Chordata; Aves; Galliformes; Phasianidae. The transcript is spliced from 3 exons.